UUUAGGAUUUAAUUGUCUUCUUGA
Molecule: non-coding RNA, 24 nt
Filed under: Arabidopsis thaliana (thale cress)
Lineage: Eukaryota; Viridiplantae; Streptophyta; Magnoliopsida; Brassicales; Brassicaceae
Source: RNAcentral